UAUGCGGAACAGCGCAAGGAGUUGAGUUCCCUCCACAUCUAUCCGAAACAAAAUUCCCUCCUUCCUUCCUUUCCUUCCCUCGUUUUCUGCUCUUACGCGCCCCUUCUCCUAACUUCCUCUGUUCUCUCUCUAAACCUCAACACUUUCUCUCUCUAAAACCCUAAAACUUCCUUUUCUUCCAUUUUCCCGCCAAAUUCUCAUUCCCACUCUCCGAAAACUGCGAUCGCCUCUUUUCUCUUUUCCUCUUCGCCGCUCCAUGUCCGGCGGCGCUGGACCUCCGCCGCCCCGUACGAAGCCGGAUGAUUCCGGCGUCCCUAUCCGGCCGCCGCUAAAGCGCAACCUGGCAUUUGCGUUGAUGAAACCGCUGUUCGCUCAGCCGGACGAGUACCAUAGCUUCUCCUCCACCUCCGGUGCUCCUGACUCCGGCAGGAAACUCGCCGCCGAUCAACAGGCUGAAGUCGUUGUUGUUAGAUCUCCGCAAAUUAAGAGGAAGGGUGGAAUGACUAAUAUUGAAGGAGACUCGCAAAAGCUUAGUAAUGUUCCUGGAUCAGCAAACGCAGCAAGUAGUCCUUUCAAAACUCCAGUGUCGUCCAAAGGGGGAAGGACGCAUGCUAAGUCAAAGGUUUCCAAAGAAGGAAUGCAAUGCCCUCAGACACCCAUCUCCAAUUCUGGUUCCCCAUCUCCUCUUACUCCUGCUGGAAGCUGUCGCUAUGACAACUCCUUAGGUAUGUUGACAAAAAAGUUUGUCAAUUUGGUAAAGCAUUCAGAAGAUGGUAAUCUUGACCUAAAUCAAGCAGCAGAAACUUUGGAGGUGAAAAAGAGGAGGAUAUAUGACAUAACUAAUGUUUUGGAAGGCAUUGGUCUCAUUGAAAAGAAGCUCAAGAACAGAAUACAUUGGAAGGGAACAGAAUCUUCUUCCGGUGACGUGGAUGGUGAUAUCUCGAUGCUUAAGGAAGAAGUUGAGAAACUCUCCUUGGAAGAGCAUAGAUUAGAUGACCGAAUAAGGGAAAUGCAAGAAAGGCUUAGGAGUUUGAGUGAAGAUGAAAAUAAGCAGAAGUUCCUUUUUGUGACUGAAGAAGAUAUUAAGGCCGUACCUUGCUUCCAGAAUGAAACCCUGAUAGCAAUUAAAGCUCCACAUGGAACCACCCUAGAAGUCCCUGAUCCUGAGGAAGCUGUUGACUAUCUGCAGAGGAGAUAUAGGAUCAUUCUUAGAAGUACUAUGGGGCCCAUUGAUGUUUACCUUAUCAGUCAAUUCGAAGAGAGAUUUGAAGAGAUAAAUGGUCCUGAGCCCCCUGUGAGCCUCCCGCUUCCUUCGAGUUCAGGGUCCAAUGAACCACCGGUGGCAGAAGCAGUUCCUGCCGAGUGCAGUGCAAAAGGACUAGAACCUCAACCUCAGAUCCCCUCUCACACGUACUCUGAUCUAAACACAUCACAAGACUUUGGUGGGGGCAUGAUGAAGAUUGUCCCUUCAGAUGCUGAUAAUGAUGCAGAUUAUUGGCUUCUAUCAGAUGCUGACAUUAGCAUAACAGAUAUGUGGAGAACAGAUUCUAGUGUUGAUUGGAAUGGGGUAGACAUGCUUCAUCCUGACUUCGGAAAUAUCCCUACGCAUCAAACUCCAUCAUCUGGGAUUGCUGAAACUCCAUCCACUGUAACUAAUCCUAAUCAGAGGUGAUUAUAUUAGAGACAACGGUUAGCUUUUCAGCUAUUGCACAGAGAUAAUGUACUAAAAUAGAGUAGUUGCUAGCCUUGGGAAAUAUGAGGAUGCUCGUUAGUUGUUGAAUGUGAAGAUGCGAAUUGCUGAUAUACUUCAUCGAUGUCAUGACCAUCUGCUAUAACUUAUAACUAAACUAGUUACGGACGAUAUACUAUGCUCAUGGAGGAUUCAGCAAUGAAGUAGAGUGGUGACAGCUGGUAAUUAUUACAGCAAAUGUUGCUACUUUGCCAAAUGCAAACUUAGGUAGACUCCACAAUCAUAAUCUUGUUAUAUGAUUGACCAUGUUUAUCAAAGUCUGCGGCAUCUUGGGUCCAAUUUCUCAAUAGAACAGAGGAACUAUGUAGAUGCUGAGUGCAGACAAAACUGCCAACAGUGUCCUGUUAUUAUGAUAGGAUAGGUCCAUCAUUCUUGCUGUUUGUAAACAUUGCAUUAACAGUGGCGACACUAUCAUAUCAAACAUUUCCCUCUACAUUGGUCUUCAAUUCAUUUCUUCAUUAAUUUAUUUUUUAUAUGGAUGGUGAUUGCUGAACUCCUUGGAGCUUUCUGGAAACUAAUAAAGCACACCUGGGGAUGAAGACGUUCAAUUAUUGGAAUUGUAGCUUCAGGGUUAAAGAUAAGAUAAUUAAUUGUUAUGGCUAAAAGUUGGCGUUGAAGAUAAUGUACUGUUACUUCUACAGUUCUGCUUCUGGGGUAAGAUGUGGUUGAGAUGAACAGAGUCGUAAAAUUGUCCUUGUAAAAAGAACAAAAAAAAAAAA
Arachis ipaensis is the source of this 2469-nucleotide non-coding RNA. Lineage: Eukaryota; Viridiplantae; Streptophyta; Magnoliopsida; Fabales; Fabaceae. The record is from RefSeq and is a predicted model, not a curated record.